Molecule: ribosomal RNA, 1729 nt
Filed under: Salmonella enterica
Lineage: Bacteria; Pseudomonadati; Pseudomonadota; Gammaproteobacteria; Enterobacterales; Enterobacteriaceae
Description: partial 23S ribosomal RNA
Rfam family: Bacterial large subunit ribosomal RNA
Source: RNAcentral
GGUUAAGCGACUAAGCGUACACGGUGGAUGCCCUGGCAGUCAGAGGCGAUGAAGGGCGUGCUAAUCUGCGAUAAGCGCCGGUAAGGUGAUAUGAACCGUUAUAACCGGCGAUACCCGAAUGGGGAAACCCAGUGUGAUUCGUCACACUAUCAUUAACUGAAUCCAUAGGUUAAUGAGGCGAACCGGGGGAACUGAAACAUCUAAGUACCCCGAGGAAAAGAAAUCAACCGAGAUUCCCCCAGUAGCGGCGAGCGAACGGGGAGGAGCCCAGAGCCUGAAUCAGCAUGUGUGUUAGUGGAAGCGUCUGGAAAGGCGCGCGAUACAGGGUGACAGCCCCGUACACAAAAGCGCAUGUGCUGUGAGCUCGAUGAGUAGGGCGGGACACGUGGUAUCCUGUCUGAAUAUGGGGGGACCAUCCUCCAAGGCUAAAUACUCCUGACUGACCGAUAGUGAACCAGUACCGUGAGGGAAAGGCGAAAAGAACCCCGGCGAGGGGAGUGAAAAAGAACCUGAAAUCGUGUACGUACAAGCAGUGGGAGCACAGGUUUACCUGUGUGACUGCGUACCUUUUGUAUAAUGGGUCAGCGACUUAUAUUCUGUAGCAAGGUUAACCGAAUAGGGGAGCCGGAGGGAAACCGAGUCUUAAUUGGGCGUUAAGUUGCAGGGUAUAGACCCGAAACCCGGUGAUCUAGCCAUGGGCAGGUUGAAGGUUGGGUAACACUAACUGGAGGACCGAACCGACUAAUGUUGAAAAAUUAGCGGAUGACCUGUGGCUGGGGGUGAAAGGCCAAUCAAACCGGGAGAUAGCUGGUUCUCCCCGAAAGCUAUUUAGGUAGCGCCUCGUGAAUUCAUCUCCGGGGGUAGAGCACUGUUUCGGCUAGGGGGCCAUCCCGGCUUACCAACCCGAUGCAAACUGCGAAUACCGGAGAAUGUUAUCACGGGAGACACACGGCGGGUGCUAACGUCCGUCGUGAAGAGGGAAACAACCCAGACCGCCAGCUAAGGUCCCAAAGUCAUGGUUAAGUGGGAAACGAUGUGGGAAGGCCCAGACAGCCAGGAUGUUGGCUUAGAAGCAGCCAUCAUUUAAAGAAAGCGUAAUAGCUCACUGGUCGAGUCGGCCUGCGCGGAAGAUGUAACGGGGCUAAACCAUGCACCGAAGCUGCGGCAGCGACGCUUAUGCGUUGUUGGGUAGGGGAGCGUUCUGUAAGCCUGUGAAGGUGGCCUGUGAGGGUUGCUGGAGGUAUCAGAAGUGCGAAUGCUGACAUAAGUAACGAUAAAGCGGGUGAAAAGCCCGCUCGCCGGAAGACCAAGGGUUCCUGUCCAACGUUAAUCGGGGCAGGGUGAGUCGACCCCUAAGGCGAGGCCGAAAGGCGUAGUCGAUGGGAAACGGGUUAAUAUUCCCGUACUUGGUGUUACUGCGAAGGGGGGACGGAGAAGGCUAUGUUGGCCGGGCGACGGUUGUCCCGGUUUAAGCGUGUAGGUGUGUGUUCCAGGUAAAUCCGGUUCACUUUAACACUGAGGCGUGAUGACGAGGCACUACGGUGCUGAAGUAACAAAUGCCCUGCUUCCAGGAAAAGCCUCUAAGCAUCAGGUAACAUCAAAUCGUACCCCAAACCGACACAGGUGGUCAGGUAGAGAAUACCAAGGCGCUUGAGAGAACUCGGGUGAAGGAACUAGGCAAAAUGGUGCCGUAACUUCGGGAGAAGGCACGCUGACACGUAGGUGAAGU